Labrus bergylta (ballan wrasse) is the source of this 239-nucleotide non-coding RNA. The record is from RefSeq and is a predicted model, not a curated record. NCBI's taxonomy places the organism in Eukaryota, Metazoa, Chordata, Actinopteri, Labriformes, Labridae.
GGGGAAACGAGGAGGUCAUUCUGGAGGAGCUGACGGUCUUCCAGAGUCCUACUCCAAUCCUAAGCAUGGAGCUGUCAACCAAACGACAACAGCUGUAUGUGUCCAGUGAGCUCGGUGUGGCCCAGCUGGGUCUGCAGAGGUGUGAGUUAUACGGGACCGACUGCGCCGAGUGCUGCCUGGCCAGAGACCCCUACUGCUCCUGGGACGGACAGACCUGCUCCAGAUACUUCCCCACCAGC